AGAGUUUGAUCAUGGCUCAGGAUGAACGCUAGCUACAGGCUUAACACAUGCAAGUCGAGGGGCAGCAUCAUCAAAGCUUGCUUUGAUGGAUGGCGACCGGCGCACGGGUGAGUAACACGUAUCCAACCUGCCGACAACACUGGGAUAGCCUUUCGAAAGAAAGAUUAAUACCGGAUGGUAUAGUUUUCCCGCAUGGGAUGAUUAUUAAAGAAUUUCGGUUGUCGAUGGGGAUGCGUUCCAUUAGGCAGUUGGCGGGGUAACGGCCCACCAAACCUACGAUGGAUAGGGGUUCUGAGAGGAAGGUCCCCCACAUUGGAACUGAGACACGGUCCAAACUCCUACGGGAGGCAGCAGUGAGGAAUAUUGGUCAAUGGACGAGAGUCUGAACCAGCCAAGUAGCGUGAAGGAUGACUGCCCUAUGGGUUGUAAACUUCUUUUAUACGGGAAUAAAGUGAGCC
This 458-nucleotide ribosomal RNA is filed under the name uncultured bacterium. RNAcentral's name for it is "bacterial SSU rRNA". It matches the Rfam family "Bacterial small subunit ribosomal RNA", at positions 8 to 457 of the family's 1533-position model. The record is from RNAcentral.